UUGCACGCUGGCGGAAUGCUUUACACAUGCAAGUCGAACGGCAGCACGGGGGCAGCCCUGGUGGCGAGUGGCGAACGGGUGAGUAAUACAUCGGAACGUGCCCGGUCGUGGGGGAUAACGUAGCGAAAGUUACGCUAAUACCGCAUACGAUCUGAGGAUGAAAGCGGGGGACCUUCGGGCCUCGCGCGAUCGGAGCGGCCGAUGUCAGAUUAGGUAGUUGGUGGGGUAAAGGCCUACCAAGCCGACGAUCUGUAGCUGGUCUGGGAGGACGACCAGCCACACGGGGCGUGAGACGCGCCCAGGCCCCGUCGGGGAGGAGGCGGGGGGGAUUUUGGGACAAGGGGCGCAGGCCGUACCCAGCCUUCCGGCGGGCAGAACAAGGCCUUCGGGGUGGUAAACUGUUUUUGUAGGAAAGAAAAAGGUUCGGGCAAAUACGGGGGGCUCAUGAGGGUAGCUAAAAAAAAAGCCCCGGCUAACUCCGUG
RNAcentral lists this ribosomal RNA (483 nucleotides) under uncultured bacterium. RNAcentral describes it as "partial 16S ribosomal RNA". It matches the Rfam family "Bacterial small subunit ribosomal RNA", at positions 29 to 507 of the family's 1533-position model. The record is from RNAcentral.